CGUCAUUCCUGUUUGAACGUGGAGCAAACGGCACAAACUGCGCACCAUUAAUGGGCCAGACAGACUGUCUCAGAGCCCCGGCACAAACUACAGCGUCAGGAGCUGUUUUUAGCUACCUGCUCUCACUGGGGUUCGGAGCGCUAACAAUGCAAGGGAGGAGAGUGAGAGGGACCAGCAGAAGGAGUGAGGAUCUGCCUGUUUUCUUCAUAAGGAUCACAAGUGUCUUUGAAUUGGAAGUGAGAGUGAAUUCAAAGAAUGGGCCAACUGCGAUUAAUCAAUUUCCUGUGUUAAUUGGAGCUAUUAAGGCUUUUAUCACAGUCAAACUGGAGUGACUUGUACCAAGGUGGCAUCAUCAAGGUCACCAUUCCUACAAAGGACAAAAAGACAUUGCAUUUGAAGGACAUUCUUGGCUGUUCUCAAAAGGAAUAAAAUUCAAUAGGUGGAAUGGAAGAUGGAGUAACACAAGAAGUUUCUAUUCUGAUGGUUUGUAUAAAUUCUCUAGCCAAAAUCCACUUUAACAUAUUUUGACGGUCUCUGCCAGUGGUUCUGUAUAACUGCUUCAAAGUGGUCCUAUUAAAGCAUACUGGUCAAGUUUUGUUCUUACAAUUAGUUGCAUACAAAUCUCCCUCCUGGAAUGGUUUAAAUGUUUAAUUUCCAAUUAGACUGUAUUGUCUCUAUAACAUAGCAGGAACCAGUAAAAUAUUAGUU
Molecule: long non-coding RNA, 708 nt
Organism: Anguilla anguilla (European eel)
Lineage: Eukaryota; Metazoa; Chordata; Actinopteri; Anguilliformes; Anguillidae
Exons: 6
Source: RefSeq, a predicted model, not a curated record